This is a long non-coding RNA of Triticum aestivum (bread wheat), 680 nucleotides long. RefSeq lists it as uncharacterized. The transcript has 2 exons. The record is from RefSeq and is a predicted model, not a curated record. NCBI's taxonomy places the organism in Eukaryota, Viridiplantae, Streptophyta, Magnoliopsida, Poales, Poaceae.
GAAGAUUUCAUCUUCGUCAACCGUCGCAGAAUCGCAAGCGUCCUCGGCGCCUCGGCCACGGCCGCUCCUAGUCACCGCGGCACGCGGGCGUGGCAGGCAGCCUGCUAUUGCGCGAUGUGGCCGUGCCGACGACCCGGCCAUCCGGCAUCAGGCGACAUCCUGCCAUCCUGCGCGACAGUGACUCGACAUCAGCGAGUUCGUCCAGUCUUUCAAUAAACCAUAAGACUCAGGGGCCCAUGUCAUCGAGUUCGCCCUAGGGCCUUCCAAAACAUAGGGCCGGCCUGCUAUCGGUACAUACCCUCAGCCACGAGGGUGAACACGAUGAAGAUGGCCUCCGGUGAUAGCUCCCCCCCCCCUCCGGCAGGGUGCCAGAACAGGUCUCCAGAUGAGAGCGCUUUAGAACGGAGGCUUGAAGUGGCAGUAGGACUCAUCUAGGCUAACUUUUAGGAGUUUUGGAAUAUAAAAGAACUAGAGUUGUGACCCGCGCAUUUGCGCGGCUAGAUUAUUUAUGUUUUCAUUCAUUUAUCUCUUCAUUUGUAGUAUAUUAGAUAUUUAGACUUGAUAUACCGAUUUCACAGUAUAUACCUUACAUAAAAUUUAUAUUUCUGAUUUAGUCUCACGUAUUACAGGAGCAAGAUUUCUAUACUUGUAUUUUUGGACUAUAUGGUUUGCCAUUAAGA